Molecule: ribosomal RNA, 283 nt
Filed under: uncultured bacterium
Lineage: Bacteria
Description: partial 16S ribosomal RNA
Rfam family: Bacterial small subunit ribosomal RNA
Source: RNAcentral
UUCCUACGGGGGGCAGCAGUGAGGAAUAUUGGUCAAUGGGAGAGAUCCUGAACCAGCCAAGCCGCGUGAGGGAAGACGGCCCUAUGGGUUGUAAACCUCUUUUGUCGGAGAACAAAACCCGGGACGUGUCCCGGACUGCGUGUAUCCGAAGAAAAAGCAUCGGCUAACUCCGUGCCAGCAGCCGCGGUAAUACGGAGGAUGCGAGCGUUAUCCGGAUUUACUGGGUGUAAAGGGCGCGUAGACGGCGCGGCAAGUCUGAAGUGAAAGGCAGGGGCUUAACCCC